GACGAACGCUGGCGGCGUGCUUAACACAUGCAAGUCGAACGGAAAGGCCCUGCUUUUGUGGGGUGCUCGAGUGGCGAACGGGUGAGUAACACGUGAGUAACCUGCCCUUGACUUUGGGAUAACUUCAGUAAACUGGGGCUAAUACCGGAUAUGAGCUCCUUCUGCAUGGUGGGGGUUGGAAAGUUUCGGCGGUUGGGGAUGGACUCGCGGCUUAUCAGCUUGUUGGUGGGGUAGUGGCUUACCAAGGCUUUGACGGGUAGCCGGCCUGAGAGGGUGACCGGCCACAUUGGGACUGAGAUACGGCCCAGACUCCUACGGGAGGCAGCAGUGGGGAAUAUUGCACAAUGGGCGGAAGCCUGAUGCAGCAACGCCGCGUGCGGGAUGACGGCCUUCGGGUUGUAAACCGCUUUCGCCUGUGACGAAGCGUGAGUGACGGUAAUGGGUAAAGAAGCACCGGCUAACUACGUG
Molecule: ribosomal RNA, 468 nt
Filed under: uncultured bacterium
Lineage: Bacteria
Description: partial 16S ribosomal RNA
Rfam family: Bacterial small subunit ribosomal RNA
Source: RNAcentral